RNAcentral lists this ribosomal RNA (984 nucleotides) under human gut metagenome. RNAcentral describes it as "bacterial LSU rRNA". It matches the Rfam family "Bacterial large subunit ribosomal RNA", at positions 1946 to 2925 of the family's 2925-position model. The record is from RNAcentral.
CGGUCCUAAGGUAGCGAAAUUCCUUGUCGGGUAAGUUCCGACCUGCACGAAUGGCAUAACGAUGGCCACACUGUCUCCUCCCGAGACUCAGUGAAGUUGAAAUGUUUGUGAUGAUGCAAUCUACCCGCGGCUAGACGGUAAGACCCCAUGAACCUUUACUGCAGCUUUGCAUUGAACUGUGAACCGAUUUGUGUAGGAUAGGUGGGAGGCAGAGAAGAGGCCACGCCAGUGGUCUUGGAGCCGACCUUGAAAUACCACCCUGAUUUGUUUGCGGUUCUAACCACGGACAGUGAUCCUGUCUUGGGACCGUGCAUGGUAGGCAGUUUGACUGGGGCGGUCUCCUCCUAAAGGGUAACGGAGGAGUACGAAGGUACGCUAGGUACGGUCGGAAAUCGUGCUGAUAGUGCAAUGGCAAAAGCGUGCUUGACUGCGAGAGCAACAACUCGAGCAGAUGCGAAAGCAGGUCAUAGUGAUCCGGUGGCUCUGAAUGGAAGGGCCAUCGCUCAACGGAUAAAAGGUACUCUGGGGAUAACAGGCUGAUACCGCCCAAGAGUUCAUAUCGACGGCGGUGUUUGGCACCUCGAUGUCGGCUCAUCUCAUCCUGGGGCUGUAGUCGGUCCCAAGGGUAUGGCUGUUCGCCAUUUAAAGAGGUACGUGAGCUGGGUUUAAAACGUCGUGAGACAGUUUGGUCCCUAUCUGCCGUGGGCGUUGGAAGAUUGACGGGGGCUGCUCCUAGUACGAGAGGACCGGAGUGGACGCACCUCUGGUGUACCGGUUGUCACGCCAGUGGCAUUGCCGGGUAGCUAAGUGCGGAAGAGAUAACCGCUGAAAGCAUCUAAGCGGGAAACUUGCCUGAAGAUGAGUCUUCCCGGAGGUUGAACCUCCCUCAAGAGUCGUCCGAGACCAGGACGUCGAUAGGUCAGGUGUGUAAGCGCUGUAAGGCGUUGAGCUAACUGAUACUAAUUGCUCGUGAGGCUUGAUCCU